GUGCUUGCACUGGGUGGAUGAGUGGCGAACGGGUGAGUAAUACGUGAGUAACCUGCCCUUGACUCUGGGAUAAGCCUGGGAAACUGGGUCUAAUACUGGAUACGACAUGUCACCGCAUGGUGGUGUGUGGAAAGGGUUUUACUGGUUUUGGAUGGGCUCACGGCCUAUCAGCUUGUUGGUGGGGUAAUGGCUCACCAAGGCGACGACGGGUAGCCGGCCUGAGAGGGUGACCGGCCACACUGGGACUGAGACACGGCCCANNCUCCUACGGGAGGCAGCAGUGGGGAAUAUUGCACAAUGGGCGAAAGCCUGAUGCAGCGANNNCGCGUGAGGGAUGACGGCCUUCGGGUUGUAAACCUCUUUCAGCACGGAAGAAGCGAAAGUGACGGUACGUGCAGAAAAAGCGCCGGCUAACUAC
This 418-nucleotide ribosomal RNA is filed under the name Kocuria rhizophila. Its description in RNAcentral is "bacterial SSU rRNA". It matches the Rfam family "Bacterial small subunit ribosomal RNA", at positions 76 to 504 of the family's 1533-position model. Lineage: Bacteria; Bacillati; Actinomycetota; Actinomycetes; Micrococcales; Micrococcaceae. The record is from RNAcentral.